GGAUAAAAAGGAAGUCGGUUGCUAUCUUUGGUUAUCUAGCUGUAUGAGUGAUAAUCUGUCGUCAUAAAGCUAGAUCACCGAAAGUAGAAAUGGCUUCCAAAACAGCAAUUUGGACGAAUAAGUAUCAAGAACAAAUUGGCAAUUUACGGCCAGUCUGAAGCGAACAACAAAGGUACGGUCCAAAUCCCCCAUCAAUGACAUCUGUAAUGACUCUUAGCCUGACAGAAGCAAGAAGCAAAAGAAGCAAGCCUACAUGUGGAGAGACGACACACACACACACACACACAC
Long non-coding RNA from Alosa sapidissima (American shad), 288 nucleotides. RefSeq lists it as uncharacterized. Lineage: Eukaryota; Metazoa; Chordata; Actinopteri; Clupeiformes; Clupeidae. The record is from RefSeq and is a predicted model, not a curated record. The transcript is spliced from 3 exons.